UACGGAGGGUGCAAACGUUGCUCGGAAUCAUUGGGCGUAAAGAGCGUGUAGGCGGCCUGGUAGGUCAGCUGUGAAAACUCGAGGCUCAACCUCGAGACGUCGGUUGAAACCACUUGGCUAGAGUCCGGAAGAGGAGAGCGGAAUUCCCGGUGUAGCGGUGAAAUGCGCAGAUAUCGGGAAGAACACCCGUGGCGAAGGCGGCUCUCUGGGACGGUACUGACGCUGAGACGCGAAAGCGUGGGGAGCGAACAGG
This 253-nucleotide ribosomal RNA is filed under the name uncultured bacterium. RNAcentral's name for it is "partial 16S ribosomal RNA". It matches the Rfam family "Bacterial small subunit ribosomal RNA", at positions 524 to 776 of the family's 1533-position model. The record is from RNAcentral.